RNAcentral lists this ribosomal RNA (164 nucleotides) under uncultured bacterium. RNAcentral's name for it is "partial 16S rRNA". It matches the Rfam family "Bacterial small subunit ribosomal RNA", at positions 355 to 511 of the family's 1533-position model. The record is from RNAcentral.
UGGGGAAUCUUCCACAAUGGACGCAAGUCUGAUGGAGCAACGCCGCGUGAGUGAAGAAGGUUUUCGGAUCGUAAAGCUCUGUUGUUGGUGAAGAAGGAUAGAGGUAGUAACUGGCCUUUAUUUGACGGUAAUCAACCAGAAAGUCACGGCUAACUACGUGCCAG